AUUAGAGUUUGAUCCUGGCUCAGGAUGAACGCUAGCGGCAGGCCUAAUACAUGCAAGUCGAACGAGAGCGGGGAGCUUGCUUCCCAAUCUAGUGGCGCACGGGUGCGUAACGCGUAUGCAACCUACCUUAAUCAGGGGGAUAGCCUCUCGAAAGAGAGAUUAACACCGCAUAAAAUCACAAUACCGCAUGGUAUAAUGAUCAAAUAUUUAUAGGAUUAAGAUGGGCAUGCGUGACAUUAGCUAGUUGGUGAGGUAAUGGCUCACCAAGGCAACGAUGUCUAGGGGAUCUGAGAGGAUGACCCCCCACACUGGUACUGAGACACGGACCAGACUCCUACGGGAGGCAGCAGUAAGGAAUAUUGGUCAAUGGGGGCAACCCUGAACCAGCCAUGCCGCGUGCAGGAAGACAGCCCUAUGGGUCGUAAACUGCUUUUAUUGGGGAAUAACCUCCUGUAUGUAUACAGGACUGAAUGUACCCAAGGAAUAAGGAUCGGUUAACUCCGUGCCAGCAGCCGCGGUAAUACGGAGGAUCCAAGCGUUAUCCGGAUUUAUUGGGUUUAAAGGGUGCGUAGGCGGCUUAUUAAGUCAGGGGUGAAAGACGGUGGCUCAACCAUCGCAGUGCCUUUGAUACUGAUGAGCUUGAUUGCAGCCGAGGUAGGCGGAAUGUGACAAGUAGCGGUGAAAUGCAUAGGUAUGUCGCAGAACACCGAUUGCGAAGGCAGCUUACUAAAGUGUAAAUGACGCUGAGGCACGAAAGCGUGGGGAUCAAACAGGAUUAGAUACCCUGGUAGUCCACGCCCUAAACGAUGAAUACUCGAUGUUAGCGAUAUACAGUUAGCGUCUAAGCGAAAGCGUUAAGUAUUCCACCUGGGGAGUACGCCCGCAAGGGUGAAACUCAAAGGAAUUGACGGGGGCCCGCACAAGCGGUGGAGCAUGUGGUUCAAUUCGACGCAACGCGAAGAACCUUACCUGGGCUCGAAAUGCAGAUGACAUCCGGCGAAAGCCGGCUCCCGCAAGGGCAUCUGUAUAGGUGCUGCAUGGCUGUCGUCCGCUCGUGUCGUGAGAUGUUGGGUUAAGUCCCGCAACGAGCGCAACCCUCGUCCUCUGUUGCCAUCAGGUCAAGCUGGGCACUCUGAGGAGACUGCCGGUGAUAAACCGGAGGAAGGUGGGGGUGACGUCAAGUCAGCAUGGCCUUUAUGUCCAGGGCCACACACGUGCUACAAUGGCGGAUACAAAGCGCUGCAAACCCGCGAGGGUGAGCCAAUCGCAUAAAGUCCGUCUCAGUUCGGAUUGUAGGCUGCAACUCGCCUGCAUGAAGUUGGAAUCGCUAGUAAUCGCGGAUCAGCAUGCCGCGGUGAAUACGUUCCCGGGCCUUGUACACACCGCCCGUCACAUCACGAAAGCUGGCUGUACUAGAAGUAGCUUCGCUAACCCGCAAGGGAGGCAGGUUCCUAAGGUAUGGUCAGUGAUUGGGGUGAAGUCGUAACAAGGUAACCAAUC
RNAcentral lists this ribosomal RNA (1500 nucleotides) under uncultured soil bacterium. RNAcentral describes it as "partial 16S ribosomal RNA". It matches the Rfam family "Bacterial small subunit ribosomal RNA". The record is from RNAcentral.